Molecule: ribosomal RNA, 301 nt
Filed under: uncultured bacterium
Lineage: Bacteria
Description: partial 16S ribosomal RNA
Rfam family: Bacterial small subunit ribosomal RNA
Source: RNAcentral
CAGCAGCCGCGGGAAUACGGAGGAUCCGAGCGUUAUCCGGAUUUAUUGGGUUUAAAGGGUGCGUAGGCGGCCUAUUAAGUCAGGGGUGAAAGACGGUAGCUUAACUAUCGCAGUGCCUUUGAUACUGAUGGGCUUGAAUGUACUUGAAGUGGGCGGAAUGUGACAAGUAGCGGUGAAAUGCAUAGAUAUGUCACAGAACACCGAUUGCGAAGGCAGCUCACUAAAGUAUGAUUGACGCUGAGGCACGAAAGCGUGGGGAUCAAACAGGAUUAGAUACCCCAGUAGUCCCUGUCUCUUAUAC